AUGGCGACUGCUCUCAACCGCGGCCUCCGCUCCGGGAUCCGCCUCCUCGCCACCGGCGCCGAGGCCUCCAAGCCAGCUUCACGUGGAUUCCAUGCUACCGGCGUGAAGAGGAUGUCAGGGCACGGCCAUGAUGAGCCAUACUACCUCCACGCCAAGCACAUGUACAACUUGCACAGGAUGAAGCAUCAGAAGCUGACUGCAUGGACUUCAGUGCUGGGAGCCGUAAGCAUUGGUGUCGGUGUCCCGGUCUUCGCGGUCAUCUUCCAGCAAAAGAAAGCCUCCGGAUGA
This 288-nucleotide ribosomal RNA is filed under the name Triticum aestivum (bread wheat). RNAcentral describes it as "partial small subunit ribosomal RNA". Lineage: Eukaryota; Viridiplantae; Streptophyta; Magnoliopsida; Poales; Poaceae. The record is from RNAcentral.